This 492-nucleotide ribosomal RNA is filed under the name uncultured bacterium. RNAcentral's name for it is "partial 16S ribosomal RNA". It matches the Rfam family "Bacterial small subunit ribosomal RNA", at positions 30 to 507 of the family's 1533-position model. The record is from RNAcentral.
AUUGAACGCUGGCGGUAGGCCUAACACAUGCAAGUCGAACGGCAACACAGUAAGAGCUUGCUCUUACGGGUGGCGAGUCGCGGACGGGUGAGGAAUACAUCGGAAUCUACUUUUUCGUGGGGGAUCACGUAGGGAAACUUACGCUAAUACCGCAUACGCCCUACGGGUGAAAGCAGGGGAUCUUCGGGCCUUGCGCGAUUGAAUGAGCCGAUGUCGGAUUAGCUAGUUGGCGGGGUAAAGGCCCACCAAGGCGACGCUCCGUAGCUGGUCUGAGAGGAUGAUCAGCCACACUGGAACUGAGACACGGUCCAGACUCCUACGGGAGGCAGCAGUGGGGAAUAUUGGACAAUGGGCGCAAGCCUGAUCCAGCCAUGCCGCGUGGGUGAAGAAGGCCUUCGGGUUGUAAAGCCCUUUUGUUGGGAAAGAAAAGCAGCAGGUUAAUACCCCGCUGUUCUGACGGUACCCAAAGAAUAAGCACCGGCUAACUUCGUG